AAUUAAAAUAAUUAUUUAAAAACUUUAACACACACACACACAUAUGCGCAGACACACAUACUAUAAACGUACCCAGGCAAACAGAAUUAUAAACACAAGAUAAAAAAGAUACACACGAAUAUCAAAGAGACAUAUAUAAAAUUAAACGUACACAACAAAAAGUCUCUUAAGCAGUUUCGAUGUUCUCGCAUAUUUUCAGUAAAAUAUAUAAAUCGGAUCGACAGACAAACGUGCCGAACAGAGCUUUAUAGCGAAUAUUACUUGGAAAAUACGUCACUCUUUAUCAUUUUGCAUCCUGUUCCUUAGUGCAAUUGAAGCCAGGAGAGAUCAACAAUAUAAAUACUGAUUCUGCGGCAUCCGGCGCUCGCGUCGUUUUUCGCCACCCGUGCGGUGCUGCCAUCGCACCACAUAGGGUGAUCCUUUUGCGCGCACUUCCAGGAGUGCGAACGACAAGACGUAUAUUGCGGAACGUGAACACUUAGAGUUACUUCUCGCGCGUGACUGGAAUCACAUUUUCUCGUGAAACACAAUUGGUGAUAGUAAAAGGAACAUCAUAUCGACGAUGGCAGAAAAAAACGAGCAUUGGAUAAUGAGAUUUUUGGAAUGAAAAGUAAAAUUGCAGAAUGUAAAUUAUGUGACUAUAAGACAUCACUAUUUGAAUCCGUAGAACCUAUGCGCAUUCAUUUAAUUAAUAUACAUAACUCUGACUGGAAAGAAUCUAUGAGCCGAUCAACUAUCUCGUGGUCUCAUUUGAUUCGGCGUUACUUUUACAUAAGCGAUGAUGGCUAUGCAAAAUGUCUUAAAGAAGAUUGUCAACAAAUGUAUAAUUUUGAUCCAAUUAAGAUGCUAGAAAUGCAACUACAUUUUGUACGAACCCAUAUAAAAACUGGCAAUAUAAACAUAGAUAAAUGGAUAAGACCAUAUUAUAAAAUAAUUUACCGUAACAGCAGGAAUAGACCAUUAGAGAAACAAUGCAAAGAACCUAAUUGCAAUUGGGUACAACACGCAUACAUGCCGUAUGCAUGUUUAUUUGAACAUUUGGUUUUUGACCAUAAAUUUAUUCCUCAUCAAUCAAUAAGGACGGGAAGAGAAGAUGCAAAAAAAUUCGUUUUACCAGAACGCCAUGAAGAAGAUUCAUGAAAAGUUCAACAACAUGGAUGCAGUUUCGAAAGAAAUAAAACUAACGUAUUAUCAUGGACAUGGACAAUCAAAUGAAAUAAGAAAUUCAUAUCUUGAUUUUAUCGCUUUAUC
Molecule: non-coding RNA, 1251 nt
Organism: Nylanderia fulva
Lineage: Eukaryota; Metazoa; Arthropoda; Insecta; Hymenoptera; Formicidae
Source: RefSeq, a predicted model, not a curated record